AGAAUAGAAUGCCUCUUCCUCCAUUCUUUGUUAGGCUAACAUCUCAUCUUACAAGCCAUGCUCAGGUGCCAUAGUUCCAGGAAGCUGUCCCUGCCCCCAUAGCCAUCCCUCUUGGGGUCUUCCUCUGGGGUCCCAUAGCACUCUAAGCUUACCUCUAUCCUAUUAAAUAAAAGUCACCUGCUUAUCCGCCAGCCUCCCCCUUGAGGAUGUGAACUCUCUACAGAUAGGGAGGGAACUGUCUUCAUGACCUUACCAAGCAUACAGCCUGGCACACAAUGGCACACUGAACACACGUGUGUCGAAUGAAUGAAUACGCUACACUCUUGUAUGGGAGUGAGUCCCAUGAAAUGAAGCUGCUUUCCGAAAAGUAAAAGGAUACCAAGAUAGUUUCAAACAGACAUACACUGUCCCAGAAUUCUUCCUGAAGCAGACGGCGUCACAGCAAGGCUGCAAUUAUAGACAUGCGCACACAUUGUUUAAAAAAAUUCAUAGAAUGCACUUCACACUGACUUUUUUUUUCUUAUUGGAAACCUGUUUACAAUCUUGUCCACUGUCAGUCUUAAAUGUCACUUUUCAGAAAGCUGGCUGCUGCCAGCAGAAAUUUAUUUUCAACUUGAAUCACAGCAUGUUCAUGCAGAGAAGCGCCUCUUUUGAAUCUCCAAAUUGGAGGGAAUUCAGGGAAGAGAAAGUGAGGUGAUUAGAAUCUGCAGAGGCCGACUCAGGAAGAAAAAUUAUGAGGCUAAAAUAUGCAUGUGUGAGCUAAACAGCAGCUAUUAGUUGGUGGAGGUGGCAAUGGUGGGGAUGGCAACUACCUAGAAACCUACCAGGACAGUGAGGCUGCAUAGCAACACGUGGAAACAAGGAAGCGGGAGCGGGAGGAAGAAACAGUGAGGGAAGCCCAGGCACCAGGAAGGACGCGUGCAUUUACAGACGGCCCUCCUGUGCCAGGUGCUGCCGAAGAGGCCGUCCUUCACUCAGCCUUUGCCCAGCAGCUAUCAUUAUUCCUAUUUUAAAGGUGAAGAACAGAUGAAGAAACUGAGGCUCAGAGGUUAAUUUGCUUUCCAACACAGAGCUGGGCAAAUGCCUCCUCCUCUUCCUUCAAGGCCCAGCCAGUGUUGCCUCCCAUGUGACCUGAAGCCUCCUUCCCGGAACCAGCGGCAGAGCACCCACAGACAUCCAGCCAGCAGCUCCCACAGGGUGUCCUCCUGCUGGGUACGGGGCAGCCUCUGCCACUAGAUGGGAUCUCAAGGCAGACACCAUUACUCAUUCACCUCUAGAUCCUAUCCGCCAGCACAAGGCUUAGCCUGGACAGGGCUGCAAUGAAUGCUUGCUGGAGUAAACACAUGGACAAUGGAGUCAUGAUGUGAACCCUGCUUGUUCAAUUGUGAGACAGUGCUUCCCCCUCCCCCAGCUGCCUCCGAGCCUCCCUCUUGUUCUCCCUGGAGGGAGUCAGGCUGGGUAGCAGAAGUGGUUACAAGACCAGAGGGAGCAUGGACAAUGGUAAUAAAUAUGUAAAAUCCAGAAUUCAUUACAUCCAGCUAAUUCCAAAUGCAAAAGACACCACAGCCUCUGAGACAGAUCCCAAUGAGGGAGUCUGAUUUGUAACUGACAAUUUGAAAAGUGGACCAGAAUUGUUUGGUCUAAAUCAUGAAAUCAUUCUCUUCUUGAUGGGCAAGAUUAGUAAAUACACAACCUCUACUAAUUUGGGGCUCAAGGGCUUAUCCCCCAGCCUGCCUCAGUUUUAGUUCUGUAAGAGACCCUCUGUGAGGUCCUUAGGGGGCCUCCCCACUCCACGUCCCUGGACUAGAGACCCUCUGGACAUGAACCUCAAAUCUCCAAAGCAGAGGAUGUAGUUCUCUUAAGGAGACAGCAUUAAAGCGAGACGUUAACAUUACAUAAAGUAAACUCUGUCCUCUGGGGGAGAGAUGCUCCACAAACCGAGAUAAAGUGAGUAUCCCUCAUGCGGUGCGCUUGAAAACAGGCACCUUUGCGUGGUGCCUGCCUUCAUCUAUCAUCCCCAAAGAAAGGGAGAGAGGGCCUGCCGAGCCACCCGGGAAAGACAGCUAAUGCUUACAAUUCGGCCAGGCAGGAGGUCUGCAAAUGCUCCCCUCUGGCCUCCCACACUCAAAACAUUUCCUAUAGCGAAGGCUUCAAAGGUAGAGAAGCGAAUAAAGAUUUCCCCUCUGCCCUAUGCCAGCUGAGAGAAUAUCUUCCUCUUCCCUCUGUUACACACACACACACACACACAUCCACACACCUCAGACACGCACACAUACAGCUGCAGGCGAGAACCAAAACCACAGACCUAGCUCGAAUGGAGGGGACUAUGUUUGAGACCACAGAUAAAGGUCAUGCCAAAAGCAAGUGAUCUGAAGUUAGAAGUUCUAGUCCUAUUCCCAAAACUUACUAUGAUGAAAGGAGAGUAAGGGAGAGAGAGUUUAGGUGGAGGCACUCCGUGUGAGCCGCUAGCACAGCAGUGGCACACACAGGAAAUGCUUCCAUCCAUGAAUCCUGGCACUGAGUAGAUGAUCCUGACCAGGUCUCCACCACUAGCUGCAGGAAGCCUCAUCCUUCGGCAAGAGCAAUGAGAAAUGGCCUGAAGGGCACUGAACUUUUUCCUCGCCUAAGUCCCCCAACUUUUUCUCUAUUAACUCUGCCUCAGUGGCAUAAGCUCCAAAUAAAUUUCUUCCUCUGCCUGUGGUACCGAAGGCCCCAGUUACAGCUUGUUGUUGUUUCACAUAAAAGUCAAGUUUGGCUCUUAUCAGUCACUAACACUAGUGAAAAUUAGUUCAUCCAUUUGGUGUCUAAAAGCAGUGAAGGGCAAGUUUCUUUUAUUAAUAGGUGGUCAGGUGGCUUGGGAGUGGGGCUUGGGUUCAGUGGGACGAGGCUACUUUAGACACAGCACAAGCUGGUGUCAGUGAGAUAACUGGAGAAACUCAGUCUCCUUAUGGGCAAAAUGGAAAAACACGGGCUGAACAGCCACAGCUAGACAGUGGGUUAGUAGCUGUUGUCAACACUGCUGGUGAAGGUGCUUUGUACGCUCCCUGCAUGUUCUGAUCCCAACCGACAUCAUCAGUAGUCACCUAGGUUAAAACACAGAAAACGCUGAUAAAAUCUGUAAAGAAGCUGGUGACAAAAAGGACCAGAAAAAUUCUCAGGAGACUGGAACAAUAGGCUGAAACUAACAAGUUGAGGUGUAUUUGGGACAAUUGUGAAUUCCUACACUUUGGUUAAAAAAAAUCACCUUUAGAAGUACUAGUUAAGGCCGGCCUGUUUUGAAAACAAUUUCCAUGGUAGGUGUACAAGGUGCAAAGUUUUAUGUUUAAUACAUGGUUCAGCAAUGGCCAGUGUAGGAUAUAGUUCAAACAAAAGAAUAAUGCGACCCACUACAUUCACAGAAGUAGAAAAUCCUGAGCUGUACUCAAGUGUGGUGGAGUCCAUUAGAAACAGGAAUAUAUCAGCCAGGCAAGGUGGCUCACGCCUGUAAUCCCAGCACAGUCGGAGGCGGAGGUGGGCAAAUCACCUGAGGUCAGGAGUUAGAGACCAGCCUGGCCAACAUGGUAAAACCCCAUCUCUACUAAAAAUACCAAAAAAAUUAGCCAGGCGUGGUGGGGGGCACCUGUAAUCCCAGCUACUGGGGAGGGUGAGGCAGGAGAAUCGCUUGAACCCAGGGGACAGAGGUUAUAGUGAGCCAAGAUCAUGCCACUGCACUCCAGCCUGGGUGACAUAGCAAGACUCCAUCUAAAAAUAAAACAAAAAAACAAAAACAAAAACAAACCAGGAAUAUAAUGUGAGUCACAUACAUAAUUUUCAAUUGUCUAGUAGCACAUUAAAAAAAAAACAAGGUAAAUUAAUCUUCAUAAUGUAUUUUAUUUUAUACAAUAUAUGCUAUAAUUUCAAUACUUAAUCAAUAUAGAAAAUUAUUAAUGAGAGUUACGUUGUUUUUUUCAUCCUAGGCCACAGGAAACUGCUGUGUAUUCCGCCUUUGCGGCACAUCUCCCUUUGGGCGAGGCACAUUGCAAGUGCUCUGCAGCCACAUGUAGCCAGAGGCCACUGUACUGAAUGCGACAAGGCUGGAGUAGGGGUGGAGAUAAGUCCACUGCACUGUGUUCUCAACAGAACCACAUCCAGAAUAUCUGGUAUUUCAGGCCUUUUAGGAGGGACAAUGAUAAACCAGAGCCUGGCUAAGACUAUCUGAAGGACUGGGAGUGAGAACGGUUAGUGGAAAAGAACUGGAUCCUUCUAGCACUAGUGGGGAAAUCACCAGCAAUGAUCCGGUGUUAUGUGGCUGCAGAGUGCAGAACUAGGACUAGGGCAUGAAAACUGUGAUGAUGGCAUUUGGGCCCUUUUUAGAAUGAGGUUCCCUGACACCAGAAGGAACGGUGUAGGCCAAGGCCAGACAGCCUGCAAAAGAGGCUAUCUGUGUGGAUAGAAAGCUGAUGUCCUCUCUGAUCUGAGGCUCUGAGAUGCUAAGUAACAACAUGAAGGAAAAUGACUGGCUGCCUAGCCAACAAACCAGAAUGUACACACCCAGAGACAUUUCCUCCUUCAGGUAGUCUUCUGGGAGGUCAAGGCUUGUUCUGGCCAGCCUCACAGGUAAUUCCAGUGGCUGGAUACCCGCAUUGUGGGGCCUUACCUUGCACAGCUGCUGCCUUCAAGGAGCUUAUAAGUGAGGGUCUGCCAUGAACGCUCUAGUAUAAUGUUAGCUUGCUGGGUCUCAGCUGACUAGUCAACAGAAAGAAGAAGAAGGGUCUCUGAGCUCCUCCCCACUUACAGAUCCUGUGUGACUGCUCUUCCUGCAUCUCACAGAAAAAGAACAUUUCCAGUUGUUCUCACGGACUUCAAGGCUAGAGGUCCUCCAGCCCAUCCAGGACCCUGGGAGCCCUAGAUCUCUCCAGCACUCUCCUUUGAAUGUCUAUCUACUAAUCAUCUCUACCUGAAUGUGCUGUGUCAACAUCAACGUGUCCCAAACCAAACUCCUUCUGUCCUCACCCUCCAACAUACUCCUCUGUAACCCUAGACUUGGGUGGAGUGGGAGGGGAGUUUGCUAUUGGGCCAGUUGGCUUUGUCUUUGACCACUGGGUGCUGGAUCUUACUACCUUACGGGAGAGGGACACGUAACUCUAAAGAAACAGCUGGAAGAGAAGAUUUCCGAGGGACUCCUUCAGAGCAAGAGAGGAAGACAGAGAUGAAUUCUACAUAGAAAGCCUGAGAAGGCCUCUCAGAGAUGGCUUCCUUGCCCUCCCCAGAUGUUCACAGGGUUAACUGUGAGUUAGGCUCUGUGCUGGGCACUAGGGGCCACCAAGGACUCCAGCGUGGCUUCUGUUACUGAGGUGCUUUCAGCCUCAUGGGAGAGACAGACAGGCACAUGAGGGCACUGCCUGGCCCAGGUGUCAGGACAGAGGCUUGCUGGGUAUAAAGGAGGCACAAAGGAAGAGAGGGGGUCACUCCCAGGCACACAGUCAGGAAGAGCUUCACAGAGGACCAGAGAGGGAGGGAAGCGUGUGCUGAGCCUUGACAGCCUGGCUGGGCAGACCACAGAGGGUGUUCUAGGCAAAGAGAAUGCAGGUGGGAACAGCCCAAGGCACUCAGGAACAUAGCUGCACCAGGGGACUUGGAGUGAUGGGAGGAGAAUGUGAAGGGAAUUGAAAGUGGAGAUCAUGGGCCAGGUUGUGAAGGUCUUGGAUGCCAGGCCAAGGAGUGAGACACCAUCAUAUAGGGACUAGGGGACAUAGGAGAGUUUUAGGAUGAGAUCUGUCAGGAGUAAUUGUACACUUUUUUAAAUACAAGAAUUUUUCUUGUUCUGCCUUCAUUUUAGUAAAAACGAAGCAUCAUGGAGCUGGCAAAUCAUCUCUGCAUCCCAAAGACAGUGCGACAUGUGAUAAUGACUGUGAAGCGCAGCUAAGCCCGUUAGCAGGAAUGACCAGGGAGUGAGAGGCAGCGCUGGAGUGUCACCCUCCAACAUCGUCUCUUUGUUUGAGGAUCACUAGGAAAGGAGCCAUUAGAAAAACGCUAGCCUGGUAAUAGGAGGGAAAUGGAUCUUGGCAGGGCUGUGUUACCCAUUGAGAAAUUAGCAAAAAACAUUCAGGGAAGAAAGCAGGGGCUUCUGUGCUUACCCAUUGAGGCUCUUGGGGAAUAAUGACACAUGGUUACCACCUGAGGAACCCCUGCUGAGGCAGCUGACUUGCCCAGUGGUCUACUACAGGCUCAGGUGAGUAGGAGGGUCCUUCCCAGGAGGGGCAGUGAUGCUCAGGCAGGGCUGGGAUGCUCAGGCUCCUUGCAAGAGCUGAUCCUCAAGUCUGAACCACUCCCCAGGCACUGUGUCAGGUACUAGGGAUGGGGCCAUGACUAAGACACGGCUUCAUCCUCAGGAAGCUCACACUCCCUGACAUGGUGGCACUGGAGCCUUGAGGGAGGCAGGACAGACCUCAUCACCCCCAUUCCACAUCUGUGGGCAACCAGGGAGGUUGGGGGGAGACUUGGUUUCUUUGUGAAUCGAUUCUUUGCUACUUUGCUUAGCAUCAAGUUCCUCUUGUCAUGGCAAUCACUCAGAAUACUGAGAGGGUGAAAGAGGAUGGGCGGUGCAGCGGGUCCGGAUGAAAACUUGGAGGGGUGGGAACUGCUAUGAUGUCAACUGACAGUGCCCAGAGAGCGGGGCCAUCACACCAGAAAUGCCUGCUCCAUUGCCACUUCUCUCAGAUGUCAGACACUCCUUCAUCCAGAAGACAUCCACAGAGUGUCCGUUACAGGGAGUCCCUGCCCUAUGCUCUUCCAUCCAGUGUGGUGAAGAAUCUCUAGUCCCCAGAGGAAUUUGGCUUGGAUCAGGGAUCUGAUUUCUGGGGGUCAAAUUUAGACACUUUGCCCCUAGUGGUACCGAAGAAUAGCCCGAGAAGCCCAGCUGCGGGUGAUGAAUUGUCACUCAGGGACUACGAGUGGAGGCUGCCAGGGCGGAGGGGAAGGCAUGCACGCUGAAGCACCAGGCGACCAUUGCUUGGACCGCCCCCUCCAUUGCUUCACCAAUAGCUUCUGGCUCUCUUUCCUGAGAGCAAUUUGAAAGAAAAGCAAACAUCUUGGGAGAAGCUGGGAUGAUCUGUCUCUAGGACUCUAAAAAGACUCUGAGGUUUCUGGGGGGAACUUCUCUGCACCAGGGAUGCUACAUCCCAGGAAAACAGGGGUCUGGGCAAGUAGCCAGAGGCCCCCCACAUUUCCUAGAAGAAUGGCACAUUCCCCUAGGAAAUUGCUUUGAGUGGGCAGGGCUCAGGGUCUCUCAAAUGACAGCUGCUUCACUGUCAGGCGUUUUCAUGUCACCUUGUACUGCUGGAAGAGGCUCCAAAGAUGAGGCUGGAUGGCCUAGAGCUUCCUACUUGCUAAUAAAACUGACUUUUUUACACUGGCUGUCCAAAGGAACCUGGAGCAGUGCGAAGCAUAUGGGCCUGGAGUUGGCCUAAUCUGAGUUUAACUCCUGGUUUUGCCAUUCCCCGGAAGUCUGGAGGUCCUGGGAAUACACCCGCACCCUCUUGGAUCAAACCUGGGCCAUCUAUGAAGCUGGCAUGGUGGGGGUACGUCAGUUUCAUAGAUGAGACAACUGAGGCCAAAUGACUUUUAAGGGAUAGACCUAGGACUAGAAACCAGGACUCCUGAUACUGAGUUCAAGAUUUUCCAGAGCCUCUUAGGAGCCUUGGUCAGGGGUGGCUCAAGGUUACAGAACACACCCUUAAAAGUGCAGCUAAGAAUACGAUUUCCUUCUGGUCCUCAGAUGGAUCUUUAAGCCAGAUCAUCCCUAUUAAAGGAAACACAGUCUGAUGAUCCCAUUUCCUGGCCUAUGCACAAGUGCCUACUCUGCCUAGAAGCCUUACCCCACCUUCUAACUAUUCAAUAAGCUCCUAAUCAUCUUUUAGGACCUGCCUCACUUAUUACCUCUUCCACUGAGAAGCCUUCAGGCCCUUUUUUUGUACUUUUUUUUUUGAGACAGAGUCUUACUCUGUUGCCCAGGUUGGAGUGCAGUGGUGCAAUCUCAGCUCACUGCAACCUCUGCCUCCCGGGUUGAAGCGAUUCUCAUGCCUCAGCCUCCUGAGUAGCUGGAAUUACAGGUGUGUGCCACCACGCCAGGAUAAUUUUUGUAUUUUUAGUAGAGACGGGGUUUUGCCAUGUUGCCCAGGCUGGUCUUGAACUCCUGACCUCAGGUGAUCUGCCCAUCUUGGCCUCUCAAAGUGCUGGGAUUACAGGCACGAGCCACUGCACCUGGCCUUUUGUACUUCUCUUGUAUGUCUAUCUAUUAUGACCCAUCAUUGUCUCUUUCUCUCUCUCUCUCUCUCUCUCUCUCUCUUAUAAUGUCUGUUUCCCUCACAGGGCUUGAGGAGUUUGGGGACAAGGGGCCAUGCCUUAUUCACCUCUUUAUCACCAGUAGCCAGCAGUGCUGGACACUGGGAGCCAAACGAAUGUGUUGAGUGCAUGGUCUCAGUAAAUCCAGGAAUUCUGAGAGCUGGGAAUAGCUCUGAGAGGAUGAGCUUUCAUUAACACAUGCAGCUCUUCCCGCCUUGGGUGGACAUUCAAAUGGCCCAUGUGGCUAAGUCACAACACCACGAGUCAAAGGCCCACUUUCCUUCUCAAAGGAAACAUUUAAAAAACCACGGGUGUUACAAAUGGCCACUUUCUCCAGGAUGAAAGACAUCUGGGGGAGGAGGCAAAGAGGAGAGAGCAAAAUAUCAGGUCUGUGUGGUCACAGCCCAUGAUACUUCUACAUCUUGAGAGAACCCACCGAUCAAUAUGAAGCAAGUGAUUUCUCAAUUCCUUUAGAAGGACCGUAGGUUAGACUGUUAGAUUCUUUUAAAGACAAGCAAGAAUCCUGCUGUUACAGACUCCUCCAGUUCUUGUCCAUCCUUUUUCUUCUAACUCCCCACACUAAGCUAUCUUCAUGGCCCAUGACACGUAUGGAAAGUAACUAUCCAAGUAUUUUAAAGCACUAUUUUCCUAUUGUUAUAAUGGCCCCAAUAAGGGCACCAUUGUUCCUUAGCGGUAUACAUGCUUCAUUCUAGUAAUUAGCUGUCAGAGAGGACCCGACAGCAGCUUAAUGUUGUCCGCUCAAAUCAUAUUAAUGAAAUGCAAUCCACUCAAAUGUCCUGAAUGCAUAUCUGUAAUUGCGUUAAGCAGAGAGGCUGGGGACAUCAGGAUCAAACUUCAGUCUCUGAACAGAGCAUUACGAUCAAGCACAUUAAUCCAUUAUUUCUUCAGAAUCUGACAGCCAAUUAAUAUACCCGGCCUUCAUA
RNAcentral lists this long non-coding RNA (9266 nucleotides) under Homo sapiens (human). RNAcentral describes it as "HSALNT0155115". The record is from RNAcentral. Lineage: Eukaryota; Metazoa; Chordata; Mammalia; Primates; Hominidae.